AAUCAAAUAACUAAUUGUUCGCCAAAUAACUACGAGUGAAAACUUAAAAUUUAAAAGACUUGACGGUGCUUCACACCAACCUAGAGGAGCCUGUCUAGUAACCGAUAAUCCACGAUUCAACCAACCCGCUCUAGCCUAACAGUCUAUAUACCGCCGUCGCCAGCUUACCUUGUGAAAGAAACAAAGUAAACUCAAUAACACCACAUUAAUACGACAGGUCGAGGUGUAACUUAUGAACGGGUAAAGAUGGGCUACAUUUUCUAAUCCAGAAAACACGGAUAAACUAUGAAACUAGAAACUGAAGACGGAUUUAGCAGUAAGCUAAGAACAGAAUGCUUAGCCGAAACUAACGCAAUGAAGUGCGCACACACCGCCCGUCAUCCCUGUAAAAAAAUAUAAAUUAUUCAUA
RNAcentral lists this ribosomal RNA (409 nucleotides) under Naja naja (Indian cobra). Its description in RNAcentral is "partial small subunit ribosomal RNA". The record is from RNAcentral. Lineage: Eukaryota; Metazoa; Chordata; Lepidosauria; Squamata; Elapidae.